Molecule: long non-coding RNA, 354 nt
Organism: Phyllostomus discolor (pale spear-nosed bat)
Lineage: Eukaryota; Metazoa; Chordata; Mammalia; Chiroptera; Phyllostomidae
Exons: 2
Source: RefSeq, a predicted model, not a curated record
GGCCUUCUGCACUGAGAGAAGCCACCACUCCAGGACCACUUGGGACUGGGGUUGAGACGCUCCCUUUUCAUCACCUGCACAAAGAGGUGGAAGAAGACCUAAAUUUGCCUUCAAAAGUCCCGUCCUGCUGCACGAAUCUGGAUGAGAAGCAACCCAGCUGAGAGGCAGGAGGCCUGGUUUAGACUCAUCAGCUACUAUCUACUUGCUACAUGACUGGAACAAGUUAAUUUACUUCAUAAGCCUUAAUUCCUUCAUCUAUGAAAUGUGAACAACAGUAACUGUUCUACCCCGAGACAGAACUAUGAAAUAAGGUGAAACUAUGAAACAAAUGAAAAACCCCAUACCUGGCACAAA